ACAAAAUAGUUAAUUUAUAAUAUUGGGUUGUCGUCCUAAAGUUGCCUUACUUGGGCUUUUGUUU
This 64-nucleotide transfer RNA is filed under the name Perna perna. Its description in RNAcentral is "tRNA-Asp". The record is from RNAcentral. Lineage: Eukaryota; Metazoa; Mollusca; Bivalvia; Mytilida; Mytilidae.